UCCCAUGUGGCUCAGUUGGUAGAGCAUGGUGUUUGCAACGCCAGGGUUGUGGGUUUGAUUCCCGCGGGGGAC
Molecule: transfer RNA, 72 nt
Filed under: Salmo salar (Atlantic salmon)
Lineage: Eukaryota; Metazoa; Chordata; Actinopteri; Salmoniformes; Salmonidae
Rfam family: tRNA
About the family: Transfer RNA (tRNA) molecules are approximately 80 nucleotides in length. Their secondary structure includes four short double-helical elements and three loops (D, anti-codon, and T loops).
Source: Rfam by way of RNAcentral